UUCCGGCGCUUCCAAACGCGGGGCGCGCCUCACGCGCCGCGCCCGCCGGGCAGCAAAUCACAGCGCAGCAAAUCGCCGUCCCAGCGACAGACGCUCCUCUUCCCCGCGCAGCCGGAGAGUCCGGAUCCUGUGCCUCAGCAUAACAUAAGGGACACCCCAUGACCCUGUGGGGCCCUCAGGCCUACAUCAAUGGAGUGAAGGCAGGAGAAAUGGAGAGGAGGACAUGGCCUUGAGGCAUUGCAGGACACAACUUUGGUGUCACUUCUUGGGCCAUGAAAGGAAGAGGGAGCAGGAAGAAUCAAAGAGGAAUCCAAGAAUGAACAAAUCUGAUUUUUGAAAUAAUGCAAUGAAAUGCGGAACUGGUCUGUUUUCCUAGCUGCUGCCGCUCUGUACCUUCCUCAUUGACCUCCACAAAGGACUUGUGCAUGACCUUGGACAAGUACAGGUCCUUCUUAGACGACAUUCCUGAGAAGUCUGCUCUGUCCCGUUCAAAGGCAUCAACCAUGCCCAUACUGCGAAGGACAUCCGCCAUGUUGUAAGAUUCCUCCAGUUUAAAUCUAGGAAAAAAAAACUUCCAUCUCUCGUGCUUGCAUCUUGUCUGGCUUUGUCCAUUCUAUGAAUCUCUCAUAAGAAAGUUUUUUCUCAACCUAGAAGAAGAGUGUUGGAUGUUUUAGGGUCUAGAUCAGUGUUGCCCCAAUACAGUUUUCUGCUAUGAGGUUAAUGAUGUAUGGCCAUGGGGCCAAAUGUGAUAGCCAUGAGCCAAUAUGGCUAUGGAGCACUAGAAGUGUGUGUAGUAUAAAGGAAGCCUUUAUUUUUAAAAUUGUGUUUAAUUUUAACUAAUGUAAAUGUAAAUAGUUACAGGUGGCCAGUGGCUACCGUAUUGGACUGCAUACAUCUGGAAGACAGCACAGUAAUGCUAAAUCAUUCAUGUAUGAAUAGAUGUUAUAUUUCUGGGCUUGCCUCUUCCUUUCCAUAAACUAAGUCAGACCAUUUCCCUGAGGCAGAAUUUUACAAUUUGGCUACAUUUGCUUGAGAACAGCUCUUCUCACAAAGUUUACUGUUGUACCUGAACAGAAGCAUGUUGAGGCAGGAGCUCUCAGAGUUGCCUUUUCUUCCAUCCAAACUUUCUUCCAACAAAUCCCUCAUCAUUUUCUGUUAAUUUAAAAUCCCAAAUCUCUCUCUUAUCUGGCCCUUCGUUCGUCUCUGCCCACCUUGUCGGGUUUUGUUUGAAACGCAUAGCAACAUCCUUUCUGACCUAUCUCCAUUCUUGACACUUCCAAUUCAUCCAUUGCAAGCAUAAGGAUUCGUUUGCUAAAAAUUCAAAUUACUGUCCAGCUAACGUUUUUCAUUGACUCUCUACAACCUUGCUAUUCAGUGUGGUCCAUGGGCCAGCAACCUCAGCAUCGCCUAGGAGCUUGGUAGAAAUGCAGAUUCUCAGACUCCUCCACUCCAGUCCUAUUAAGUCAGAAUCUUCUUUCUAACAAGAUCCUUAGGUAAUACGCUGAAUCACAGCAGCUGCUCCCCACAUAAUUGCUUUCUAAAGAGCAAACUCACAACUAUGGGGCAAGGUUGUGGAGAAGACUACUAAUACUAGUCAAUGGCAUACUCUGAGCAUCGUAACAAAUACACUUUAUACACCAUGCCUUGCAUUCUACAACAUCCCUCAUAGGGAGGUACUGCCACCACCUUCCAUAGGAAUAAGCCUGAGAGAGUACAGAUUUCUAACUUGUAAAGCAGGACAUUGAACUCUUACCUGGUUUGGCCCCAACCUGAGCCCAUUCUAGGAUAAGAGUAUUUUCUAAAUUGUAUUCAACACUUAGAACACCAUCCCACUGGAUGUAAUCACAAAAAGAGAAAAGGGCAUAUGGCCCAAUAAUUCAGGGAAACACUGGUAAAAACAAAUUUUCAAGGUUUCUUUUUUCCUUAAAAGCUUGUGAGAACCUUUACUAUGAUGAAAUGCAUACUUUAAACACUCUACCAUUUUCAAAUCAGUGUUUUCACUGGGAAGUAUGAUGAUCAUAUUCAGCUCCUGUCCAACAUAGGGAAGCACUAGAAUUUGGCUGGAUAUUUUCCUUACGCAGAUGAUUUUAAAAGUGGAUUCCUUAAACAUCAUUUGCACAGGUUUUUCUUUGUUCUAGAAAAGAAACAGAUAUACAUUAAGUUGAAGCACAAGAGUCAAAUAUUGGACAUAAUCAACAGAGUUGGUCCCUUUCUGCCGCUACAAACACUUUCUUUCUUUGGUCUCUAGAACCCCGUAUUAGACACUUCCUUUACUGGCUCAUGGUCAUUACUUCAAUAUCCAAACACCAGGGUGCCCAGGGCUCAGUCCCUACGUUGCUUUCUGUUGGUGAUCUUGAAGGAGAUCAGGAUAUGCCACUCUGAAAUAUACCAUUUUGGUUUAAGAAUAUUUUGAACUGAAGGCAUUAGAGUUUCUGAAAUAUCCUAUCUGCCUAGAAGCAGAACCUCCCAAAAGAACUCAAUUGUCCUUAUUCUCUUCCUCAGUAACAAUUCUAAUUUUCUUAGAGAUGAAAAGUCCGCACACACCCAUCAUUGUCACAAGACUAUUACUUCUGCCAUUGAUUCUGCUCCAAAAGGACUCAUGUAUCUUUUCACAAAAGGCAUUUGUUUUUCCCAAGUGCCCUUUAUUCCCCUCCCUUUCUCCUACUAUGUUGGAUAAAAACACCACAAAUUCUAAUGACCUCUUCGAGUUACUCAUCAUUGAGUUUUCCUAUGUACAUGUGUGAUGCACAAGUUAAUAAAUUUCUGUUCGUUUCACUCUUGUUAAUUCUUUUUGUCACUCUACAGGGACCCAGCCAAAGAACUUGAGAAUAUAGAGGAAAAAGAUUUCUUUUCUCCCGUAUAAUAUCAUUUAAUCUCAUGAAUUUAAAUAUAAAAUCCAAGUUGCACCUCUGGCCUGGAUCUCACCUUAGUAAUCCAGUAUCAUCCAUUUCGCUACCUACUCGACAUCAGCAUCUGAACAUACAAAACAAACCUCCAGUCUAACUUGUAACAGUGGGCUCUUCACAAUCCCUUACAAAUCUGCUCCAUCUGUUUUCUGUCCUAUCUCAGUUGAUGGGGACACCAUCUUUCCAGCUGUCAGGUACCCUGAAAUUAACCUUGACUCCCAUCUUUGUCUCACACCACAUAUCUGACACAUUAGCAAAUUAUAUCAGCCCCAUUUUUACAAUGUAACCAAAAUCUAACCUGUGCAUCCUACCUCCGCUGCCAUCAUCCUAAUCUGGGAUGGUGCCGUAAACUCCUGAGUGAUUGCCUGGUUUCUGUCCUUACCCUCCUUGUGAUUAUUCUCAGCACAGGAGCCCGAAGGACCCCGUUAAAAUGUAAGUCAUAUGAGGCGUGAAUUGAAAAUCCUCCUGACUCAGAGCAAAAGCUGAAGUCUUUGAAAUAACUAGUAAAUCGUGCCAUGAGUUUGUCCUCCACUGCCUCUCUGAUCUCAUCUCUUAGUGCACUCCCUUUGCUUGUCUGCCACAAUCACAGUGGCUGCUUCGCAGAUCCAUGGACAAACUAUCUCAACUCUGCCCACUGAACUCAUUCCCCCAGAACCUGUAACACAUAUGACCUUACUUCUUUCUGUCCUUGUCUCAAAUACCAUCUCCUUCAGUGAGGGCUUUCUUGCUGACCCUUACCUGAGGUUGUGCUGCCCAACCUAAACUUUCUUUUUCUUUUCUUUUCUUUU
Saimiri boliviensis boliviensis (Bolivian squirrel monkey) is the source of this 3694-nucleotide non-coding RNA. The record is from RefSeq and is a predicted model, not a curated record. Lineage: Eukaryota; Metazoa; Chordata; Mammalia; Primates; Cebidae.